RNAcentral lists this unclassified non-coding RNA (2463 nucleotides) under Pectinophora gossypiella (pink bollworm). Its description in RNAcentral is "receptor expression-enhancing protein 5-like". Lineage: Eukaryota; Metazoa; Arthropoda; Insecta; Lepidoptera; Gelechiidae. The record is from RNAcentral.
UCAUGUCAUUGUCAUUUUGUCAAUGAGUCGUGGCCGUAGGUUGGUGCCAAUCUCCUUUCCGUCAGCCCCUUGAAUUAAAACACCAUGAGUGCCAAGUUACAGGAGUACCGAGAUACGGUCGAGCGCCACCUGCUUGACAAAAGCAAGCCAUGGACCAAAUAUUUCGAUAAAGUCGAGGCACAGACUGGAGUCAACAGAGUAUACAUUUUCGUCGGUUUGGUGGCGUUCACCGGUUUAUAUUUAGUAUUUGGAUUUGGAGCUGAACUGAUAUGCAACGCCAUUGGUUUUGUCUACCCGGCAUACAUGUCGAUGAAGGCGCUUGAGUCGCCACAGAAAGAUGACGACACUAAGUGGUUGACCUACUGGGUGGUGUUCGCGUGCUUCUCGCUCAUCGAGUACUUUUCAGACUUCAUUGUCGGCUGGUUCCCGUUCUACUGGCUACUGAAGUGUAUCUUCGUGAUAUGGUGCUACCUCCCGACGGAGUACAAUGGCUCGAUGAUAAUAUACCACCGCAUCAUUCGCCCGUACUACCACAAGCAUCACGGACGCAUCGAUGACGUCACCAACUCUGAAUUACUGAAGGACCUAGCCAAGAAUGUCAACAAACAGAUUGACAAAACGAUGAAAAAAGUGAACGAGGCCAUCGACAAAAAGCUGGCUCAAGAUUAAGAGUAAAAAGGAUUAGAGAUAUCAUAUACGCUACUGCGCUACACGUCUAGUGGCAGAUGCUAUAUCUAACGUUAGGAAGAACAACUAGAUCCGCUUUAAACAUAUUUGGUAGCGAAAAGUACAAAAAUGCACCUGCUACUACCACGAGCUUCGCACCACAACCAUUGGCUGAAAAUAUAAGAAAAAUCGAUAAAUGACAUAACAAAAAUGACGGAGAUUUUGCUAUAAGAUAACGAUAAUAACCCUCUAAAACUUACAAGAGGUAGAACCCCUAAAUAAGCAUCAUUAAGAUCAAUUUCAUAAAGAAAAUUAAAAUUCAAUUACCAUAAUUUGUAUGGUCAAUCAAUAUUUUAAUUUUCCAAAAAUGCUUUUUCGUCCCAAUAUCUCCGUCUUUUACUGUCAAAAAGUAUUUUAUAAAGUAACGAACGUAUCAGUGGAUGGUAAUUAAAAUAGUUUUGUUUAUAAUGUUGACCAUUUAACAAGGACUGUUCUCUUUGUAUUGUAAGAACAUUUUCUACGAAAGGUUUUACGCUAAAGCUGGUCUAGGAGCGCUAGAAGCAUAUAAUAACAAUGCUCUUCUAAUGGCACUAUUAAUUAACCUUUAUAUGACCAACAUAAUACAUCACUCAAAAGCAAGACAUGGGAAACGUUUAUUUAAAAAAUAAAAUAAAGAAACUCGAAGUCAAUAGUGCCUAAAUUGAUAUGACUGACAGCAUUCAUCAGUAGAUUUCUUUACGUCGUAUGUUUCUGCGCCUCUAGUAGCAAAUACUGUCGUAAAACCAAACUUGUGAUUCAAACCCUAUAAUAUACGUUCUAAGUAAGAACUUUCAACCUUAUCAUCAUGUAUUAAGCUAAGUUUUUUUUGUACAAUCGUGUCCAUUUAUUUCUUCUUUUUAAUUGUAGAAAUUCCUAGUUGAAUCUAUCUUUUCUUUUAUUGGGAUUAAGUGAUCUAAUUUUUGGGAUUUUAAUGUUUUCUGACACUUGCAAGGAUUGUGUAAAAUUCUUGAUGUGGGCGUGGGUUUUGAAGAUUCGGCAACUGUUCAAAAUCAAUGUCGUUAUUUUUAAAUAUUAUAAGUACGAUCAUGCUGAGUUCAAGCAGGUGCUUUCUUUAGAAGAAUAAGUGACAUACAUACAGUCGAUUUCAUUUUUCCCCUUUUCUAAGAUCUCUUCGGAACAAUGAAUUUCUUUCCAAUGUAGUUUAAUUUGCUCAAGGAAUGUUUGUGUAUGUAUUUUAUUGUUUAUAUUGUUGGAUAUUUAGAAAACUGAGGAGUGUAUUUACAUAUACCAUUUACACUAAAAUGUUCCGCUUUGUUCCAAAACAUGAGUAAGUAAUAUUACUUAAGCUAACAGGAACAGAAGCACUAUAGAUUUUUGUACAAUCCAGCAAAAUCUUCGAGCGAUUCGCUAUUUUAUAUCUACAAAAGACAUGUUUUGUAUAUUUUCGACCUAAUUAGUGUUAGUUCACGUCGUGGUUGCACCAUUUCUUCACGAACAUUCUGAGUGGGGUUGCCAACAAUAAAAUCUUCAACAUGUUUGUUAUGUAAAUUUUCGCAAGUCCUUUUUCUGUUAUAAAAAUCCUCGUUUAUAGAAAUCGUUCAAAGAAUCAUAUUUGAGUACCUUUUUUAUUUUAUUUCCAAUGGUAACAUGUUUGGUGUUCGUGGAGUUUAUUUUAAGGAAUAUUUAAAGACUUCACAUAUAGCUUGCCUGAAAUCUAUGUAAGUGUGCCUUCAACUUCGCUGGCGUUGUCGUUGUUAACGUAUUUUUUUCACAUAAUAAAAGGAAUUCAUUGUAUAA